This 648-nucleotide long non-coding RNA is filed under the name Brassica napus (rape). RNAcentral describes it as "long non-coding RNA (BNAP_LNC017688)". The record is from RNAcentral. Lineage: Eukaryota; Viridiplantae; Streptophyta; Magnoliopsida; Brassicales; Brassicaceae.
UCGCCGCCCGACUAGCGCCUAACGUAGUUUCGAACAGUAAUACUAAUUUUCUUUUUUUUUUAGAAACUUUUACAGUUUCUAACCAAUGGAGUUGAGCAAUAUUCGCCUCAUAAAUCACUUAGGUUUUAGGUCGUCUUCUAGUUAAAACUUAAAACUUAAAAGGACUAGAAAUUUUGACUUGGGCUUUUAAAUAAUAUAAAGCAACUCCAUAUUUAUUUUUCGUCAUGGGACAUCUUCAGCCAUGUAUCCUCGCUUCUCGACUCAACCGCAUGGGCUUUUCAUUUUACAGUUAACCAUACAACACUAUGCGUUCGGCGUACCACCGUUUAGGUUUAGAUCAAGUUUUCAGAUUUUUGGGUACAAGCCAUUUGGAUCAGAAUAUCCUUUUCUCUUGAGAAAUAUUAUCACUUCAAAUUUGAACCUGCUGUCAUUAUUGCCAAAAAAGAACCUGUUGUCAUUAUUGCCAAAAGACAAAGCUAGUUUCUUGUUAGUUUUGUUCUUAGAUACCAAAUCAUGGUAAUAAUAAUAUCUGAAUCCCGUCAUCUGAUGUAGAUUCUAACAUCUCCUGAUUCGCCUUACGAAUUUGUUCCUGGCUCUUAUUCAGUUCUUUCUUCCAAGGAUACUUCUGAUCACCAUAGAGUCAAAGUC